Molecule: ribosomal RNA, 482 nt
Filed under: uncultured bacterium
Lineage: Bacteria
Description: partial 16S ribosomal RNA
Rfam family: Bacterial small subunit ribosomal RNA
Source: RNAcentral
AUUGAACGCUGGCGGCAUGAUUUACACAUGCAAGUCGAACGGUAACAGGCCGCAAGGUGCUGACGAGUGGCGAACGGGCGAGUAAUGCAUCGGAACGUGCCCAGCCGUGGGGGAUAACUACUCGAAAGAGUAGCUAAUACCGCAUACGAUCUAUGGAUGAAAGCGGGGGACCGUAAGGCCUCGCGCGAUUGGAGCGGCCGAUGUCAGAUUAGGUAGUUGGUGGGGUAAAGGCUCACCAAGCCAACGAUCUGUAGCUGGUCUGAGAGGACGACCAGCCACACUGGGACUGAGACACGGCCCAGACUCCUACGGGAGGCAGCAGUGGGGAAUUUUGGACAAUGGGCGCAAGCCUGAUCCAGCAAUGCCGCGUGCAGGAAGAAGGCCUUCGGGUUGUAAACUGCUUUUGUACGGAACGAAACGGCUCUGGUUAAUACCCGGGGCUAAUGACGGUACCGUAAGAAUAAGCACCGGCUAACUACGUG